RNAcentral lists this ribosomal RNA (466 nucleotides) under uncultured bacterium. RNAcentral describes it as "partial 16S ribosomal RNA". It matches the Rfam family "Bacterial small subunit ribosomal RNA", at positions 28 to 507 of the family's 1533-position model. The record is from RNAcentral.
GAUGAACGCUGGCGGCGUGCUUAACACAUGCAAGUCGAACGAUGAAGCCCAGCUUGCUGGGUGGAUUAGUGGCGAACGGGUGAGUAACACGUGAGUAACCUGCCCUUAACUCUGGGAUAAGCCUGGGAAACUAGGUCUAAUACCGGAUAGGAGCGCCUACCGCAUGGUGGGUGUUGGAAAGAUUUAUCGGUUUUGGAUGGACUCGCGGCCUAUCAGCUUGUUGGUGAGGUAAUGGCUCACCAAGGCGACGACGGGUAGCCGGCCUGAGGGGGUGACCGGCCACACUGGGACUGAGACACGGCCCAGACUCCUACGGGAGGCAGCAGUGGGGAAUAUUGCACAAUGGGCGCAAGCCUGAUGCAGCGACGCCGCGUGAGGGAUGACGGCCUUCGGGUUGUAAACCUCUUUCAGUAGGGAAGAAGCGAAAGUGACGGUACCUGCAGAAGAAGCACCGGCUAACUACGUG